RNAcentral lists this ribosomal RNA (423 nucleotides) under uncultured prokaryote. Its description in RNAcentral is "bacterial SSU rRNA". It matches the Rfam family "Bacterial small subunit ribosomal RNA", at positions 355 to 774 of the family's 1533-position model. The record is from RNAcentral.
UAAGGAAUAUUAGUCAAUGGACGCAAGUCUGAACCAGCCAUGCCGCGUGAAGGAAGACGGCCCUACGGGUUGUAAACUUCUUUUGUACGGGAAAAGAUCUCCGGUCGUGAAUCGGAGCUGAUGGUACCGUAAGAAUAAGCAUCGGCUAACUCCGUGCCAGCAGCCGCGGUAAUACGGAGGAUGCAAGCGUUAUCCGGAUUCAUUGGGUUUAAAGGGUGCGCAGGCGGAUUAAUAAGUCAGUGGUGAAAUCCUACGGCUCAACUGUAGAACUGCCAUUGAUACUGUUAGUCUUGAGUAUUGUUGAGGUAGGCGGAAUGUGUCAUGUAGCGGUGAAAUGCUUAGAUAUGACACAGAACACCAAUCGCGAAGGCAGCUUACCAAGCAAUAACUGACGCUCAUGCACGAAAGCGUGGGGAUCAAACA